RNAcentral lists this ribosomal RNA (591 nucleotides) under uncultured bacterium. RNAcentral describes it as "bacterial SSU rRNA". It matches the Rfam family "Bacterial small subunit ribosomal RNA", at positions 224 to 806 of the family's 1533-position model. The record is from RNAcentral.
GAUAAGCCCGCGGCGUAUUGGCUAGUUGGUAGGGUAAUGGCCUACCAAGGCUUUGAUGCGUAGCUGGUCUGAGAGGAUGAUCAGCCACACUGGGACUGAGACACUGCCCAGACACCUACGGGUGGCUGCAGUCGAGAAUCUUUCGCAAUGGGGGAAACCCUGACGAAGCGACGCCGCGUGAGCGAUGAAGGCCUUCGGGUUGUAAAGCUCUGUCACAAGGGAAGAAAUGCCUUUUGAUGAAUAAGCAAGAGGUUUGACGGUACCUUGAAAGGAAGCCCCGGCUAACUCCGUGCCAGCAGCCGCGGUAAUACGGAGGGGGCAAGCGUUGUUCGGAUUUACUGGGUGUAAAGGGUGUGUAGGCGGUCGGGCAAGUUAGAUGUGAAAUCUCCGAGCUCAACUCGGAAAUGGCAUUUAAUACUGCUUGACUAGAGUACGAAAGAGGGAGAUGGAAUUCUCGGUGUAAGAGUGAAAUCUGCAGAUAUCGAGAGGAACACCAGUAGCGAAGGCGAUCUCCUGGGUCGAUACUGACGCUGAAACACGAAAGCUAGGGGAGCGAACGGGAUUAGAUACCCCGGUAGUCCUAGCCGUAAA